RNAcentral lists this long non-coding RNA (745 nucleotides) under Mytilus galloprovincialis (Mediterranean mussel). Lineage: Eukaryota; Metazoa; Mollusca; Bivalvia; Mytilida; Mytilidae. The record is from RNAcentral.
CUCAAUUUCAAGGUCACAAACCAAGGACCUUAAAUCAAAAGACCCUAGGUCUUUAAUAUGUUUGGUUAAUGAGUAAUACCACUUUACGCGUAAUUCUAAAUGUAAGAUGGACAAAAACUCCCAUUUAUUGUAUGCGCACCCUUUCAACCAAAAUAUACAAGUAAGGACAUGUCGCAACUAACAAUUUUAGGAAAAAAAUAUUUGUCGAUAUGUCAUACGGUAUUUGAAAAUAAGUGAAAAUAAGCCAAAAUCAAAAUUUUAGAAUAUGACCUUGACCUUUGACCUUGACCUUAUUUUCAUUUUUUUGGACCAAGGAUCUCAAAUCAAGAGACCCUAGGUCUCUAUCACUUAUGGUUUACCAGUUAGAAACGCAUAUCACCUAUAUCAAAUACAUAAGGGGGAAUAACUCUCAUAUGGAGUCUCCGGAUAGCUUCGGUCAAAAUUAAAAUCCUAAUCCUGAAGAUGUAACGAGCAAUUUGGUAAAAUAAAUUUGUCGUAAUCUUUUACGGUUGCGAAGGAGUAGUGGCCACAAGAAAAACAGUGUUUGGGGAGAUAACUCUUACAACGUAAAGUAUUUUGUUACGCAGUUGUAAAUUUUUAAAGCGUAUAAACUAUACGAUAUCAUAUUCCAAAUAUCUAAGCGACAUCUUUUGAAACAUCAAUACUACGCAAGAAAAAAUUAGGCGGAAGAAAAAAAAAAAAAAAAAAUAAUUAAAAACCAAUUGUUCAAAGAACAAUUGAAGGU